This 56-nucleotide transfer RNA is filed under the name Baylisascaris procyonis (raccoon roundworm). Its description in RNAcentral is "tRNA-His". Lineage: Eukaryota; Metazoa; Nematoda; Chromadorea; Rhabditida; Ascarididae. The record is from RNAcentral.
AGCUUUUUAGUUUAUAAUAAAAUACUCGUUUGUGAUGUGAGUGAAGUAGGAGGCUU